Molecule: ribosomal RNA, 482 nt
Filed under: uncultured bacterium
Lineage: Bacteria
Description: partial 16S ribosomal RNA
Rfam family: Bacterial small subunit ribosomal RNA
Source: RNAcentral
AUUGAACGCUGGCGGCAUGCCUUACACAUGCAAGUCGAACGGUAACAGGUCUUCGGAUGCUGACGAGUGGCGAACGGGUGAGUAAUACAUCGGAACGUGCCCGAUCGUGGGGGAUAACGAAGCGAAAGCUUUGCUAAUACCGCAUACGAUCUACGGAUGAAAGCGGGGGAUCUUCGGACCUCGCGCGGACGGAUCGGCCGAUGGCAGAUUAGGUAGUUGGUGGGAUAAAAGCUUACCAAGCCGACGAUCUGUAGCUGGUCUGAGAGGAUGAUCAGCCACACUGGGACUGAGACACGGCCCAGACUCCUACGGGAGGCAGCAGUGGGGAAUUUUGGACAAAGGGCGCAAGCCUGAUCCAGCCAUGCCGCGUGCAGGAUGAAGGCCUUCGGGUUGUAAACUGCUUUUGUACGGAACGAAAAGGUGCCUUCUAAUAAAGGGCGCUCAUGACGGUACCGUAAGAAUAAGCACCGGCUAACUACGUG